RNAcentral lists this ribosomal RNA (261 nucleotides) under uncultured archaeon. Its description in RNAcentral is "partial 16S ribosomal RNA". It matches the Rfam family "Archaeal small subunit ribosomal RNA", at positions 748 to 1008 of the family's 1478-position model. The record is from RNAcentral.
AGGGUGUAAACGCUGCAGGCUUGGUGUUGGGAACCCUUCGGGGGUGCUCAGUGCCGGAGAGAAGUUGUUAAGUCUGCUACUUGGGGAGUACGUCCGCAAGGAUGAAACUUAAAGGAAUUGGCGGGGGAGCACCGCAACGGGAGGAGCGUGCGGUUUAAUUGGAUUCAACACCGUAAAACUCACCAGGGAAGACUGUUACAUGAAGGCCGAGAUGAAGACUCUGCUAGAUUUUCAGAGAGGUGGUGCAUGGCGUCAGUGACU